This 367-nucleotide ribosomal RNA is filed under the name Chloropicon mariensis. Its description in RNAcentral is "partial Eukaryotic large subunit ribosomal RNA". It matches the Rfam family "Eukaryotic large subunit ribosomal RNA", at positions 16 to 357 of the family's 3401-position model. The record is from RNAcentral. Lineage: Eukaryota; Viridiplantae; Chlorophyta; Chloropicophyceae; Chloropicales; Chloropicaceae.
UGAGGUUACCCGCCGAAUUUAAGCAUAUAAUUCAGCGGAGGAAAAGAAAUCAAAUGAGAUUCCCUGAGUAACGGCGAGUGAAAAGGGAUGAGUCCGGCGCAAAGGUUUCCCAUUGAAAGGUGGGAAGCGGUGCUGCGUAAUGGCUAAAGUCACGAUUAUUUCAACUAAAUCUGCAAGUCCCUCUGACAAGGGCCCUCUUCCCAGAGACGGUUCUAGGCCGGUGGCAGAUCUUGGUAACUGAAAUAUCGAUUACUGGCUUUAGUCGCGGAUAGAGUCAGAUUGCUUGAGAGUGCAAUCCAAAUUGGGAGGUAAACUCCUCCCAAGACUAAAUACGAUGGUAAUAUCGAUAGCAAACAAGUACCGUGAG